AUCCACUCCAGUGGAGUUUCCCAUGCAAGCCUAGGAUAGGAUGCAGAUGUUCCUAUAAUAAAGGAAUGAUGCUCAUAAUGUUUGGAGAUGUGUGUGGAGUGAGGAGAGUAAAGCAACUGUGAAGAGAGAGUAAAUAGAAGCGGCAUAACUUUCAGAAGAAUGUAAAAAUGUGAAACUGGAAUAGCAAAGGAGAUGUUUGUGCUGGCACCUUCCUGUAGAUGGGGCUGUGGUUGCACAUAGGCUGGGACCCGGAUGGCAGCGUGGUACGAUGUGAU
Molecule: non-coding RNA, 275 nt
Organism: Meleagris gallopavo (turkey)
Lineage: Eukaryota; Metazoa; Chordata; Aves; Galliformes; Phasianidae
Source: RefSeq, a predicted model, not a curated record